Pogoniulus pusillus (Red-fronted tinkerbird) is the source of this 705-nucleotide long non-coding RNA. RefSeq lists it as uncharacterized. Lineage: Eukaryota; Metazoa; Chordata; Aves; Piciformes; Lybiidae. The record is from RefSeq and is a predicted model, not a curated record. The transcript is spliced from 3 exons.
AACUUGUGAAUGUAUGGAGAGAAGCCAUAGCUCUGUGGAGGAGCCAGGAAGAAGUAAUGCAAGAGCCAAGGCAGCAGGGAGCUGUACCCUCGUGAAGCCAGGAUAUGGUGGCAUGAUGUGCCUAAGAAUGCUCAUGAGUUCCAGGAUUUGAUGACUGCUGACAACAAACUGGAUGCCAAAACAUCAGACAAAAAACCUAAUGAACCCUUAAGUUACAGACAAGGCUGCAUCACAUGGGCUGUGUGUGCAAGCUAUGUGAAGCGAUAUGUGAACUACUGGUAUCAAGCAGACAUCCACAGAGCUGAGAGACUUCUUCAUCUUGCUGCCACCAAAUAAUUAGAUGAAGUCCAAGGGGAAACAUGGUACAGAAACCACGAAAAUUAACUAAUAUGUUCAGUACUAGAAUCAGGCCACACUUAGCCAAUCCUCAUACAAAGAAGGGCCACUUCUGACUGCAUUUAUCAGCUGUCAGCAGCAAUUUUAUGUAAGAGAUUUUUAGAUACUUAUUGAGGUUAUGCUGCAAACUCAACCAAUUAACAUCAAGCUUGUAAAAGCACUUUAGAAUUGAGGAAGACAUUAAGGUGAAGUAUGCAUUUUGUUGGCAAGGAAUUUUCUUUGUGAUUGCUGGAAUACUGUCAGGCUCAGACUGCCAUUUGGGAGUCCCUGAUUAAGGUUGUUUGCUUAGUAGGGUGAAAUCACUGAAAU